Molecule: RNA transcript, 1692 nt
Organism: Piliocolobus tephrosceles (Ugandan red Colobus)
Lineage: Eukaryota; Metazoa; Chordata; Mammalia; Primates; Cercopithecidae
Gene name: pre-mRNA-splicing factor RBM22 pseudogene
Exons: 1
Source: RefSeq, a predicted model, not a curated record
CUCUCUCAACUCGGAAGCUACAGCUGCCUCCGGACGCUCUCAAGAUGGCGACCUCUCUGGGUUCCAACACCUACAACAGGCAGAACUGGGAGGAUGCGGACUUCCCCAUUCUGUGCCAGACAUGUCUUGGAGAAAACCCAUAUAUCCGAAUGACCAAAGAAAAGUAUGGGAAGGAAUGCAAAAUCUGUGCCAGGCCAUUCACAGUGUUUCACUGGUGCCCUGGAGUCCGCAUGCGUUUCAAGAAGACUGAAGUGUGCCAAACCUGCAGUAAAUUGAAGAAUGUCUGUCAGACCUGCCUCUUAGACCUAGAGUAUGGCCUGCCCAUCCAGGUCCGUGACGCAGGAUUGUCUUUUAAAGAUGACAUGCCAAAGUCAGAUGUCAACAAAGAGUACUAUACACAGAAUAUGGAGAGAGAGAUUUCUAACUCUGAUGGAACACGGCCAGUUGGCAUGCUGGGGAAAGCAACAUCUACCAGUGACAUGCUGCUCAAACUGGCCCAGACCACACCCUACUACAAAAGGAAUCGACCCCACAUUUGCUCCUUCUGGGUGAAAGGAGAGUGUAAGAGAGGAGAGGAAUGUCCAUACAGACAUGAGAAGCCUACAGAUCCAGAUGACCCCCUUGCUGAUCAGAAUAUUAAAGAUCGAUAUUACGGAAUCAAUGAUCCUGUAGCUGACAAGCCUCUAAAGCGGGCUUCAACAAUGCCUCGGCUGGAUCCACCAGAGGAUAAAACUAUCACCACACUAUAUGUUGGUGGUCUAGGUGAUACCAUUACUGAGACAGAUUUAAGAAAUCAUUUCUACCAGUUUGGAGAGAUCCAGACGAUCACUGUUGUGCAGAGACAGCAGUGUGCUUUCAUCCAGUUUGCCACAAGGCAAGCUGCAGAAGUGGCUGCUGAGAAGUCCUUUAAUAAGUUGAUUGUAAAUGGCCGCAGACUGAAUGUGAAAUGGGGAAGAUCCCAAGCAGCCAGAGGAAAAGAAAAAGAGAAAGACGGAACUACAGACUCUGGGAUCAAACUAGAACCUGUUCCAGGAUUGCCAGGAGCUCUUCCUCCUCCUCCUGUGGCAGAAGAAGAAGCCUCUGCCAACUACUUCAACUUGCCCCCAAGUGGUCCUCCAGCUGUGGUGAACAUUGCUCUGCCACCGCCCCCUGGUAUUGCUCCACCUCCUCCCCCAGGUUUUGGGCCACACAUGUUUCACCCAAUGGUACCACCCCCUCCUUUCAUGAGGGCUCCAGGACCAAUCCACCAUCCUUCUCAGGACCCUCAGAGGAUGGGAGCUCACGCUGGGAAACACAGCAGCCCCUAGCACCUUGUCACCACUCUGGGGCUCUGUGGAAGAAAGGGCACUUAAAACUCCCAGUAAAUCUUGGAAUAAAUAUAUUUGUCCUUCCCUUGUAGUUUCCAUGGUAGCUGAAUGUGCUCAGAUGUGGGCAUUCGGAGACUGACAGCCAUGCUUUCCUACACAUGUUCAAAGGAUCGAUGGACCAUAAAUAAGCUGCCGUUAACACAUCUGGUUACUGCUAUAACACGACUAAUAAAGCCUAAUGCCUGUUCCCCUUACCUGUGUGGGGGACAAGCAGAUGAGUGAAUUGGAAUGUCCAGCAGAGUUACCAUCCCAAUUAUAUGUUCAUUUUGUAUAUUUUUUGGGCGGGGGAAUAAUUGACCUGCGGUAAAAAAAACCUUUGACCAUU